RNAcentral lists this ribosomal RNA (522 nucleotides) under uncultured bacterium. RNAcentral describes it as "bacterial SSU rRNA". It matches the Rfam family "Bacterial small subunit ribosomal RNA", at positions 83 to 591 of the family's 1533-position model. The record is from RNAcentral.
UCCUUGAAGUCAGCGGCGGACGGGUGAGUAACACGUGGGUAACCUACCUAUAAGACUGGGAUAACUUCGGGAAACCGGAGCUAAUACCGGAUAAUAUGUUUCACCUCAUGGUGAAACAGUGAAAGACGGUUUCGGCUGUCACUUAUAGAUGGACCCGCGGCGCAUUAGCUAGUUGGUGAGGUAACGGCUCACCAUGGCGACGAUGCGUAGCCGACCUGAGAGGGUGAUCGGCCACACUGGGACUGAGACACGGCCCAGACUCCUACGGGAGGCAGCAGUAGGGAAUCUUCCGCAAUGGACGAAAGUCUGACGGAGCAACGCCGCGUGAGUGAAGAAGGUUUUCGGAUCGUAAAACUCUGUUGUAAGGGAAGAACAAGUACGUUAGUAACUGAACGUACCUUGACGGUACCUUACCAGAAAGCCACGGCUAACUACGUGCCAGCAGCCGCGGUAAUACGUAGGUGGCAAGCGUUAUCCGGAAUUAUUGGGCGUAAAGCGCGCGUAGGCGGUCUCUUAAGUCUG